AUGGUGGCAUGGCAGGGGAGAUACCAUGAUCAUGAAGGUGGUUUUCCCAGGGUGAGGCUCAUCCAUUGCACUGCAGGUGUGCUGACCCCUGCAAUUUCCCCAAAUGCGGGAAACUCGACUGCAUAAUUUGUGGUAGUGGGGGACUGCGUUCGUA
This 154-nucleotide small nuclear RNA is filed under the name Chelydra serpentina (North American snapping turtle). RNAcentral's name for it is "U1 spliceosomal RNA (ENSCSRG00000008537.1)". It matches the Rfam family "U1 spliceosomal RNA". From Rfam's summary of the family: U1 is a small nuclear RNA (snRNA) component of the spliceosome (involved in pre-mRNA splicing). Its 5' end forms complementary base pairs with the 5' splice junction, thus defining the 5' donor site of an intron. There are significant differences in sequence and secondary structure between metazoan and yeast U1 snRNAs, the latter being much longer (568 nucleotides as compared to 164 nucleotides in human). The record is from RNAcentral. Lineage: Eukaryota; Metazoa; Chordata; Testudines; Chelydridae.